CGAAAGUUAGGAGGUUCGAAGGCGAUCAGAUACCGCCCUAGUUCUAACCAUAAACGAUGCCAACCAGCGAUCCGCCUGAGUUCCUCAAAUGACUCGGCGGGCAGCUUCCGGGAAACCAAAGUGUUUGGGUUCCGGGGGAAGUAUGGUUGCAAAGCUGAAACUUAAAGGAAUUGACGGAAGGGCACCACCAGGUGUGGAGCCUGCGGCUUAAUUUGACUCAACACGGGAAAACUUACCCGGCCCGGACACUGGAAGGAUUGACAGAUUAAGAGCUCUUUCUUGAUUCAGUGGGUGGUGGUGCAUGGCCGUUCUUAGUUGGUGGAGCGAUUUGUCUGGUUAAUUCCGAUAACGAACGAGACUCUAGCCUACUAAAUAGGCGUUCCGAUCCUUUAUGUCGGACGUUCUUCUUAGAGGGACAAGCGGCUUUUAGCCGCACGAGACAGAGCAAUAACAGGUCUGUGAUGCCCUUAGAUGUCCGGGGCCGCACGCGCGCUACACUGAAGGAAUCAGCGUGUGCUUUCCCUGUCUGGUAGGACUGGGUAACCCGUUAAACCUCCUUCGUGAUAGGGAUAGGGGCUUGUAAUUGUUCCCCUUGAACGAGGAAUACCCAGUAAGCACGAGUCAUAAGCUCGUGUUGAUUACGUCCCUGCCCUUUGUACACACCGCCCGUCGCUACUACCGAUUGAAUGAUUUAGUGAGGUCUUCGGACUGGCGCUCGUAGCGACCUUUGGCCGCGCCGACGUGCCGGAAAGAUGACCAAACUUGAUCAUUUAGAGGAAGUAAAAGU
This 787-nucleotide ribosomal RNA is filed under the name Harpactea fageli. Its description in RNAcentral is "SSU rRNA". It matches the Rfam family "Eukaryotic small subunit ribosomal RNA", at positions 984 to 1789 of the family's 1831-position model. Lineage: Eukaryota; Metazoa; Arthropoda; Arachnida; Araneae; Dysderidae. The record is from RNAcentral.